GAUAAACGCUGGCGGCGUGCUUCAGGCAUGCAAGUCGAACGGACCUUCGGGUCAGUGGCGGACGGGUGAGUAACACAUAAGCAACCUGCCCAGAAGUGGGGAAUAACCCACCGAAAGGUGAGCUAAUACCGCAUGUGAUGGCUCUUCUCUGGAGGAGUCAUUAAAGGCUUCGGUCGCUUCUGGAGGGGCUUGCGCUCGAUUAGCUAGUUGGUGGGGUAACGGCCUACCAAGGCAACGAUCGAUAGCUGGUCUGAGAGGACGGUCAGCCACACGGGGACUGAGAUACGGCCCCGACUCCUACGGGAGGCAGCAGCUAGGAAUCUUGGGAAUGGGCGAAAGCCUGACCCAGCAACGCCGCGUGGGCGAUGAAGGCCUUAGGGUCGUAAAGCCCUUUUGCGGGGACGAUGAUGACGGUACCCCGCGAAUAAGCCACGGCUAACUACGUGCCAGCAGCCGCGGUAAUACGUAGGUGGCAAGCGUUGUCCGGAUUUACUGGGCGUAAAGGGCGCGCGA
Molecule: ribosomal RNA, 513 nt
Filed under: uncultured bacterium
Lineage: Bacteria
Description: bacterial SSU rRNA
Rfam family: Bacterial small subunit ribosomal RNA
Source: RNAcentral